UGGGGAAUAUUGCACAAUGGGGGAAAUCCUGAUGCAGCGACGCCGCGUGAACGAAGAAGGUAUUCGUAUCGUAAAGUUUUGUCCUAUGGGAAGAUAAUGACAGUACCAUAGAAGAAAGCUCCGGCUAAAUACGCGCCAGCAGCCGCGGUAAUACGUAUGGAGCGAGCGUUGUCCGGAAUUAUUGGGCGUAAAGGGUACGCAGGCGGUUUAAUAAGUCGAAUGUUAAAGAUCGGGGCUCAACCCCGCAAAGCAUUGGAAACUGAUAAACUUGAGUAGUGGAGAGGAAAGUGGAAUUCCUAGUGUAGUAGUGAAAUACGUAGAUAUUAGGAGGAGUACCAGUAGCGAAGGCGACUUUCUGGACACAAACUGACGCUGAGGUACGAAAGCGUGGGGAGCAAACAAG
RNAcentral lists this ribosomal RNA (403 nucleotides) under bacterium. RNAcentral's name for it is "partial 16S ribosomal RNA". It matches the Rfam family "Bacterial small subunit ribosomal RNA", at positions 355 to 776 of the family's 1533-position model. The record is from RNAcentral.